GCCAGUAGCCAUAUCAACCCUGCAGCUCACAACUGCCAACCCUCUGAAGCUCAGCAGGUGUGAGCCUGGUCAGUAGCUGGAUGGGAGACCUCCUGGGGAAAAACUAUGGUUGCCGCUGGAA
Molecule: ribosomal RNA, 121 nt
Filed under: Lepisosteus oculatus (spotted gar)
Lineage: Eukaryota; Metazoa; Chordata; Actinopteri; Semionotiformes; Lepisosteidae
Source: RNAcentral